CCCUGACAGCUACAUAGUGUAGCUGACACUAGCCAAGACAGGAGAUAGACAUG
Molecule: non-coding RNA, 53 nt
Filed under: unclassified sequences
Description: Mu-gpT-DE RNA
Rfam family: Mu-gpT-DE RNA
Source: Rfam by way of RNAcentral